GUGUGGCCUAUUUGCGCGUCAGUGAAGGAUGUGUGGCCUACGUGCGCAUCAGUAAAGAUGUGUGGCCUAUGUGCGUGUCCGUGAAGGAGGUGUGGCCUUUGUGAGUGUCACUGGAGGAGGUGUGGCCUCUGUGCAUGCCAGUGAAGGAGGUGUGGCCUCUAUGUGUGUCAGUGGAGGAGGUGUGGCCUCUGUGCAUACCAGUGAAGGAGGUGUGGCCUCUGUACGUAUGAGUGAAGGAGGUGUGUCCUCUGUGAGUGUCAGUGAAGGAGGUGUGGCCUAUGUGCGCAUCAGCAAAGAACGCGUGGCCUAUGUGCGUGUCCGUGAAGGAGGUGUGGCCUCUGUGAGUGUCACUGGAGGAGGUGUGGCCUCUGUGCAUGUGAGUGAAGUAGGUGGGGCCCCUGUGUGUCAGUGAAGGAGGUGUGGCCUCUGUGCAUGUCAGUGAAGGAGGUGUGGCCUCUGUGUGUGUCAGUGAAGGAGGUGUGGCCUCUGUGUGUGUCAGUGCAGAAGGUGGGGCCUCUGUACAUGUCAGUGAAGGAGGUGUGGCCUCUGUGCGUGUCAGUGAAGGAGGUGUGGCCUCUGUACAUGUCAGUGAAGGAGGUGUGGCCUCUGUGCAUGUCAGUGAAGGAGGUGUG
Molecule: long non-coding RNA, 632 nt
Organism: Ictalurus punctatus (channel catfish)
Lineage: Eukaryota; Metazoa; Chordata; Actinopteri; Siluriformes; Ictaluridae
Source: Ensembl